CCUACGGGAGGCAGCAGUGAGGAAUAUUGGUCAAUGGACGAGAGUCUGAACCAGCCAAGUCGCGUGAAGGAUGACUGCCCUCUGGGUUGUAAACUUCUUUUAUAAGGGAAUAAAACGAGCCACGUGUGCCUUUUUGCAUGUACUUUAUGAAUAAGGAUCGGCUAACUUCGUGCCAGCAGCCGCGGUAAUACGGGGGAUCCGAGCGUUAUCCGGAUUUUUUGGGUUUAAAGGGAGCGUAGAUGGGUUGUUAAGUCAGUUGUGAAAGUUUGCGGCUCAACCGUAAAAUUGCAAUUGAUACUGGCAGUCUUGAGUACGGGUGAGGUAGGCGGAAUUCGUGGUGUAGCGGUGAAAUGCUUAGAUAUCACGAAGAACCCCGAUUGCGAAGGCAGCUUACUAAACUGUGACUGACAUUGAUGCUCGAAAGUGUGGGGAGCAAACAGGAUUAGAUACCCCAGUAGUC
Molecule: ribosomal RNA, 460 nt
Filed under: uncultured bacterium
Lineage: Bacteria
Description: partial 16S ribosomal RNA
Rfam family: Bacterial small subunit ribosomal RNA
Source: RNAcentral